ACACAGGCUAUCUGGUUCCAAGUUCUAUGCUAUUAACACGUCAACCACCUUACUGUUAAGCUUCUAAAGAUAACUUUUCUUCAUCUAGAAGAUUUGUCCCAUAUGGUUCUGCUUCUGUAAAUGCCUGUUGUGUUUACCUCUACUUUCUCAGGUUGGAGCUAUACAAUCGCCCUAAGUAUUCUGCUUACUACUGUUGUUUAAAAGGGCAUAAAUGAUAUGCCUUUUAUCCUCCAAAGUCCUUCAUGAUAUCUGUCUUUCUUAACUUUUACUUUUACGAUGUAUUUUAUUGCCACUAUAUUUAUAUUUGGAAAAAAAUGGUAAUUAUUAUGGACAUUGUCUCUAGAUCCUGGCUACCUUAAUUUGUUUGAAUAUCUAUUCCAACACUUACCAUCUCUGUGACACCUUGGGCAUAUUACUUAAUCACUCUAAAUCUCUGCUCCAUCUUUUGUAAACUGGGGAUAAUAGGGCCCACCACCUCAGUUAGGCAACGCAGGUAAAGCACUUAGUACAGUGCUUGGAACAUAAAAAGCACUUUAUUAAUAUUAUUACUUUUGAAAACUCUACAUUUCACUAUAAACACUUUGACAAUGAAGAGUUUAUAUUUCUCUUUAUAUUCAUUUUAAAGGUACAACUUUGCAUUCACUAUAUGGUCAAUAUUUUUAUAAGUAUCAAAAUAAUUUAGACCCAUUUGAGUCACAGCACAAAGCCAAUUUCUUUAUAAUUCCUACCUAAACAUUAUAUUAUUUCUACCAUUGUUCAGUAUGUUCACACAAUCUGGUAAAACACCUUGCUUCUUGUUACUCAUGUUAUUCCUUGAAAGACAUCAGUAAUUCCUGAUUAUUUCAAUAUGCACAGCUUUUUCUAGAUGUUACAUAAGUAGACAAGCAGAGACAGCAUGUAGAUAUAAUAUACCAUUUACAUAUUUAUAAUAGAUAGAGAGAGAGAUUUUAUAUGUAUAUAUAUACAUAAUCUCAUCCAAACCUAGCAAUCUGUUCUCUAGACUUCAUGGGAUUAUUAGCAAAAUGAAAUUUGAUAAUUCAUGUGAAGAUGCUUUGUAAAAUACUCCAUAUAAUGUAGUAUAUUACUGACAUUUAAAUGAUUAAUAUCUAAGACAGGGAUGAGGAUAAGGUAGUAUGGAACAGAUCUGCAUGAAGAUAUUUUCACCCUAAAGCCUUACAUUCCAAAUAUUUUUCAAAAUUGGAAUUAUAUUUUUUCCAGUCUAAGCAAUUCAUGUACCUAGCUUAAAACAUAAGGUGUACAAUGAAAAAUAGGUACUUUGAAUCUCUCCCUACUUAACUCCUGCAACUGUCUUUUAAAUCUACUAGCUCUUUUUGCUCCCUUAAUUCUAAAAAUCCUGUAUUUACUGCUUUUUCUUAAUUUUUAAAUUUGGGUCACUAUCCACUGUGGAAGAGUUGUUAGUUCUCUUCCUGAACUUCCCCCAGUCCUGUCUUAGUUGCACAUCCCCAACUCCCAAUAAAUCUUGAUUUUUUUAUUGCAUUAAUAUUUGGCAUUUUUAUUGUAAAUGGUACAUAAAUAUUUUUUACAGCUCUGUCACAGAGUGUGUUAUUAGUAUAUUUCAUUACUUUCACCUGGAGUUAAUAUUUGCCUUUCCGGUUAAUAUUUCAUGUUAUGCCUAUCAUCAAUUCUUACCUUAGCCCUGGGACUGAAUGCUAACAACUCUUUUUAAUACCAUUAAACACAGAAGCCAAUAUAACAGGUUUUGUUUUUGCUUAUGUUCAAAUAUCCCUCCUGGAACCGUUCAUCCUGCUCCUCCAUUCUAGGUUGUUUCUCUACAGACCUGCUACAAAAGAUUCAUUUUAGGACAUUCAUUCACUACCGUCCUGGAAAUUCUCUUCAUCUUGCUCCUACCUUAGGUCCAUUAUCUUCCUAAAGCUCAAGUUUUCCUUUCUUAUGAUUUAUUUCUUCAUUUACACAUUCUAGAAGUUCCCAAAAUAAAGGUAAGAUUGCAUUUGAGGGAUUUUGAGACUUUGAAUGGCUGAAAAUGCCUUUGCUUUACCCGCACAUGCGAUUGCUGCUUUAAGCUGGCAUAGCUCUCUAGGUCCAAUCAACAGAUAGAAAUGAUAGAUACAUUAAACAGGAGAAGUUAAUAUAGAAAAUUUGUAACUAUAUGAAAAAGGAAGUUUACAAGAUUUAAGAAAAUUCCAUUUGGCACCACAGGGAUGUGGGAGAGUGCCUAGGAAGAAAAAAUUUGAAGGGGGUUUGGCAAUCUAAGGGUUUUAGGUAGAGGAUAGGUGAUACAUGUGUCUGAAGCUCAGAUGAAAACUCUGGGUUGGGAUACAGAUUUUGGAGCCAUACACAUAGAUGGUACAUUGCUAUAAAGUAAAUGCUUGUGUCCCUUCAAAAUUCAUAUGUUAAAUCCUGAUGCCCCACGUGAUAGUAUGUGGAGGUGAGGCCUUUGGGAGGUGCCCCAGCGAUGAAGGAGGAGGUUUUGUGAACAGGACUUGUGCCCUCAUAAGAGAGACCCCAGAGAGCUUACUUGUCCCUCUGCCAUGUGAGAGCACAGCAAGACCACUGUCUAUAAACAUGGAAGUGGGGCCUCAGCAUACACUGAAUCUGCCAGGGACUUGACCUUCAACUUUCCAGCCUCCAGAACUGUGAGAAAUAAAUAGUUUUGUUGUUGUGGUUCACAAACCACCCAGUCUAUGGUAUUUCUGUCAUAGCAGCUCAAAGAUAUGUUAUGUUAGCCCUUGAAAAUCAAGUGUGAUUCCCAGAUUUAGUGCCUAGGAGAAUGGGUGAAUACAGGUAUCUUUCAAAAAAAAAAAAAGAGAGAACACAGAUGAAGAAAAAUAUUUCUUUCAACAAAACAUGAGUUCAGGUUUGGGCAAGGUGAAUUUGAGGCCCUUUGUUAAAUCCAAGUGCAUGUCUAAAAGUUGGUUAAAAAUAAGGGGGAAAAAUGUGAACGGGAAAUACCCUGUUUAGCCUCAUUAGAAUAACGACAAGGAUAUCAGCUCCUUCCUGAAAAUAAUUUUGCGGAGUUCCCAUCCUGACUUAGCAGUAAUGAACCCAACUAGUAUCCAUGAGGACACAGGUUUGAUCCCUGGCCUCGUUCAGUGGUUAAGGAUCCAGCAUUGCCGUGAGCUGUGGUGUAGGUCGCUGAUGCAGCUUGGAUCCUGCAUUGCUGUGGCUGUGGUGUAGGCUGGCAGCUGCAGCUCUGAUUCAACCCCUAGCCUUGGAACUUCCAUAUGCCACAAGAGUAGUCCUAAAAAGACAAAAUAAUAAUAAUUUGGGGCCUCUUUAAGGAUUUAUAUGUAUUUUCUCUUCUCUCAUUCAACUUAUUUACACAUCUAUCAGUGAAGACAUCACAUGAUGUAGUUAUUUGUAUACAUAUGAAUAAAUUUAGACUGUCUCAUGAAAGUACAAAAUUUUUUCUGUAAUUUUUCCUAUUACUUUUAAGUUUCUGAAAUAUACAUGUCUGGGUUGUCUCACAUAAUAUUAAAUUGAAUGAAAGGCUACAAAUGCAUACAAUAUAAUUUUCCAUAAAUUGUUUAACAUGUAGUUUAUUUGAAUAGUAUAAGCAAUAUUUCCUUGAGAAACUUCUAAAGUCUUUCUUUAUUGCAGUGAUCAAAACUGUUAUUUAAUACAGUUUUACCUUAAAGACUGGCAAGUCUACUACUAGAAAAGAAUGACAAUUAUAAAAUUACAACUAGAUAUUGUUAUUAUUUCAAUAUCCUAAAGUAAAUAAUAGUACUAUUUUGCAGUUAAGUAUAUUAACUAAGAACAUUUAGUAUUGAUAUCAUAGAUUAUUUCUAUAUCAGUUUCUUACAGCUGCUAUAGCAAAUUAUCACAAAUUCAGUGGCUUAAAGUAAAUCCUAUUUAUUAUCUUACAGUUCUAGAGCCCAGAUAUCCCAGGGUAAUUUUAUGAAGCUAAAAUCAAAGUGUCAAUAAAGCUGCAUUCCUUUUAGGAGCACCAGGGGAAAGUCCAAUUCCUGGCCUUUUCUAUAUUCCAGAAUUCCUUGCCUCGUGGCCCCUUAGUCCAUCUGCCAAGUGCAUCAUUCUCAAUUCUGCGCCCUUCAUCACUCCUUUCCCCACCUUCUCCAACCUUCCUGCCUUCCGUUUACAAAGACCCUUGUGAUUCAUUUGGGCUCACCUGGAUAAUCCAGGAUAAUCCUACAGUUUAAAGAAUUUUAAUUUAAUUACACCUGCAAAGUCCCUUUUGUCAUGUAAAGCAACAUACUCAAAGGUUGGGAUUAGAAUGUGGACAUCUUGGGAAGGAGAAGUAGGCCAUCUAUCAUAAUUCAUUUUUAAUUACAUUUACAGCCAUUUUGGUAAUAUUUUACUUAAGGUAAUCAUAUAGAUACUCUUUUACCUUCCUCUAUACCUGUCUCUAUAAUUCUUAGAGGCCACAACUAGAGACUCAGAACAGAUAUGAAAGUAAGGUUCCAUGAUGCAAUUUUCCACUGCUCCUCUUUCUUAGUACUUUGUACCAACAACUUUAUUAUUAUUUAAGACAGUAACGGAUUGAGUAGUUUUUACUUAUCUAUUUAUUUAUUUAUUUAUUUAUGUUUUUGUCUUCUUAGGGCCGCACCCACAGCAUACAGAGGGUCUAAUCAGAACUGUAGCCAUCGGCCUACACCACAGCCACAGCAAUGCCAGAUCCGAGCCAUGUCUGCGACCUACCACACAGCUCAUGGCAAUGCUGGAUCCUUAACCCACUGAGCAAGGCCAGGGAUUGAACCUGCAACCUCAUGGUUCCUAGUUGGAUUGGUUUCCACUGUGCCAUGAUGGUAACUCCGAGUAGUUUUUCUUUAGUUUGUAGCAUUAUUCUACUAUCUAGUUCUUAAAAUUACACCAUUAAGUUACUUUAUGUCAAAUUCAGUGCUAAGGCUGAGAAUGCAAAUAUAAAAGGUAUAUCACCACAUUCAAGAAACAUGAUAAAAUGAAGAAUCUAGUUCCAUAGACCAAAAUUAUACUGCAAUGUAAUUAAUAUUGUAAGUAUUAACAAAGUCAAUUGUUAGCCUAUUAGUCAUGUUUUUGCUUCUUUUCAUUUUGAAUCUUUGUUUUUAGUAAGCUAUAUGGUUACAUUUGUUUAAAUAUUUCCUAUGGGAGAUUUAUCUUCUUUAUAUGAAAGUAAUAUGUAUAAGUAGUAGGAACUAUUUAUUUACUUUAGCAGAAAACUUAUAUCUGCUUCCUGUUUAAAUAUUCACUGGCUGCAUGCAUGAUUUAUUGCCACCAACUUCUAUUGUGUGUCAUCAAUGUUACCCUUGUGGAAACAGGGGCUAAUAGAGCCAAAUAUCGAGGACAUAUUAAGAAAGUAAGAGAACUCCGAUGGGGAAAUUUAACAAUUUAUGUGUACCUAACUUCCACGAUCAGCUCAGAUGACUGUUGUGUUCCAACCAGCUGUACAUUUGGCCGAAGUGGUCAAACACCUCUCCCAGUUUCAGUUACCCCUGCAGAGUGUUCCUGUCCUUGAGUCACUUCACAGAUCACUGCAAUCUCUUAAUGUUUGUCUCCAAAAACAAUCUUUAAGAUUAAUGCAAACUUGUAUAUUCUAAUGGAACAGUGAGGUAACUCAAAUAAACAAAUGCAUUGAAAACUAAACUUUCAUUUAUACAAAAAUAAGCCAAAAAGUAGCAUCUUCUGUUAUAAGUUGGGAUUGCUUGACUGGAAGCAGUAGUAAUUUAUAUAAUGAAAUUAAGCAAAAUGGAAUUUAUUGGUAAGAUAUCUGAAAUACAGAAUCCAGCAGACACUAGAAAAUCAGAUUUCAAAUUGUAGAAACUAAGAUAUCUCUAGAGUCCAUAAAACAGAAACAAUAAUAUUCCAAUAGCAGAAGUAUUAUAAUCAGAGUUAUACCCUUGGAAAAUCCAACCAUUUUCAGUUCCAUUAUACUUCUGCUCAUGAUCUAAUUUUUAAGUUAAGUAUAUGCUAAUCUAGCCUGAGAAACAUGCCAUUGGUUAGUGGACAUUGGUUAGCCCCUCCUCCAUAUCUAUUCUGGCUUUCUAGGUCUGCCAUAACUAAAUACCGCAGACUAGAUGGCCUAAGCAAUGUAAGUUUAUUUUCUCAUACUUCUGGAGGGAAAAAAUCCAAAUUCAAGGUAUCAGAAAGGAUCGCUUCUCCCGAGGCCUCACCCCUUGGCUUGUAAAUGGCUGUCUUGUUGCAGCAUCUCUAUACCUAGGAAACCUGGUGUCUCUUUGUGUUUUGAAAUUUCCUUUUCUACAAGGACACCAGUCUGAUUGGAUUAAGGACUACCCUAACAGCCUCAUUUUAAUUUAAUCACUUCUUUAAGGGCUUUAUUUCCUAUUAUAGUCACAUUCGGAGGUACUAGAGUUUCUGGUUUCAACACAUGAAUUUUGGGUGGGGCACAAUUUAGCCCAUUACAUUAUCUUACUGGAGGAGGGGGGAAUAAAAGUCUCAUUCUUCAAAGAAGAGUACCUUAAGGACAGAUUGAGAACACUGAAGGACACUGCAACUAAGAAGAGAAAUGGGGAGGAGAAAAAUUAUCUAUGGAGGAAGGACAGGCACAUAUGUGAAUCUUACUCCAACAACACAGACUUGCAUUGCAACUGGGAGAUCUGCACGAUAUGGACUUUCUGAGGAGCAUUUUUGAAAAGGGAGACCCAAAGUCAAGUGUGGAGAAUAAAACAAGGUCACUAGAGGAAUCCCAGCCCUCUGAUGCCCACAUCAACAACAUACUGCAAACACAGUACAACUAGGUUAACACAAACCCUCACUCUACAGGUUUAUUGCCUCGGUGUCUACUGUCCUAUAUAAUAUGCUCAGCUUUCAACAAAACAGUGCAAGGGAUGACAAAAGGCAGGUUGGGGAUGGGGAUCCUGAAUCUACAAAGCAAUUAUCAGAACCAGACUCAGAUGAGAUAUAGAUAUUGAUAUUCUCACACAGACUUAAAUAUCCAUAAGCAAAAUGUUGAUGGCUCUAACGUAAAGAUAGUUAAACCUGUUAGAUCUAGAUCGAGUAGAUAAUUUCAACACAGAGAUGAAAGCAUCAGAAAUAACAAAAUAGAAAUGGUGAAAUUAAAAACACAGUAACAGAAACGAAUAUGCCUUUGAUGGCCUCUUCUGUAGAUUCAAACAACCAAGGAAAGUGUGAGUGAACUUAAAAAUAUGGCAACAGAAAUUAUACAAA
RNAcentral lists this long non-coding RNA (7101 nucleotides) under Sus scrofa (pig). RNAcentral describes it as "lncRNA (ENSSSCG00040076275.1)". Lineage: Eukaryota; Metazoa; Chordata; Mammalia; Artiodactyla; Suidae. The record is from RNAcentral.